RNAcentral lists this ribosomal RNA (238 nucleotides) under uncultured Syntrophaceae bacterium. RNAcentral's name for it is "partial 16S ribosomal RNA". It matches the Rfam family "Bacterial small subunit ribosomal RNA", at positions 1145 to 1382 of the family's 1533-position model. The record is from RNAcentral. Lineage: Bacteria; Pseudomonadati; Thermodesulfobacteriota; Syntrophia; Syntrophales; Syntrophaceae.
GAGACUGCCGGUGUUAAGCCGGAGGAAGGUGGGGAUGACGUCAAGUCCUCAUGGCCUUAUGCCCAGGGCUACACACGUGCUACAAUGGGCGGUACAAAGAGAAGCAACCUCGCGAGGGUGAGCAAAUCUCAAAAAGCCGUUCUCAGUUCGGAUUGAAGUCUGCAACUCGACUUCAUGAAGUCGGAAUCGCUAGUAAUCGCGGAUCAGCAUGCCGCGGUCGAAUACGUUCCCGGGCCUU